Molecule: long non-coding RNA, 3549 nt
Organism: Lineus longissimus
Lineage: Eukaryota; Metazoa; Nemertea; Pilidiophora; Heteronemertea; Lineidae
Exons: 5
Source: RefSeq, a predicted model, not a curated record
GAGAAAGAUAAGAUGUCAAAUCUAUCAUAAGUAAGCGGUCACUCGACUAGGGAUCAGAGGUGAUCAGAAAAGACACGUCACAAUAUCAAAAUGAUUGGAUUGAAAAUCGAAUCAUUUUUGGUCAUUUUUGUCAUUUCUCUUCCGUAUAUAUCCGGCAAUGAGAGCCCUGUGGCAUCGACAGAAGUGCUACUGAAAAUUCCUUCAUUCUGUUACGCAUGCCAUUCGAUUUCCCUCCCACUCUCUAUUAAAGUCGAUCCAGCGAGAGCAGGAUUCCUGGGGAGGUCAAACCUUAGAAGUAGAUUUUCAGAAGCUAAAUUCUACACAGUUGUGUCCACGAAUGGUUACCUGAAUUCAGAGUUCGGGACCAAUACCCUCCCAUAUGUUGGCUUCUGCAUGAAUAAGUUUCAAUAUGAUGAAGACGGUUGGGAUCGGCAGAAAUGGUUCGCCUGGAAAUGCGACAAGGAGCACGAUCAGUGUUACACAGUAGUUUACACCGCAACUGUCAACACGACGUACUCAGAAGUGAUAGCCAACAGCAACACGACCGUCGCGAAAUCGAAAAUCGAUAAGUACAAUGGUUACAUUCGAGGAUGUGUGGACUCGACCAAGAACGCAUCAUUUUGCAAUUCAACAUUUACGGGAAAUGAUACGGGCCGCGGACAAGGACAACCAUGGGACGUCGUUUUUGAUGGAGAGGUUCGUUGCUGUCAAGGAAGCAACUGUAAUACGUUUGUUACUUCUCAGUCCGGGGCUGCCGGCUUGAGAUAUGUGCCUGUCCAAGCAUUUAUUUGUUACUUUGUUAGCUUGCUGGCAGGAGUACAUCUUCUCUCGUGGCAAGGCGACCGGGUUGUGGUGGCGAUCUAGACGGUGUAAAAUGUUUUUAUGCAAAAACAUCUUGGUUACAAUGUUUCAUUUCUAUAAUGGAUUAUGUAUUAGCCUCGUUCACGUGGCCAGAGGGGUUUUUGGUGAGACUACCAUAACCUCUUGGGCAGGUGUGAAAUGUAUCGAAGCAGGUGUAGUUGUUUUAAAGGAGAAAGUAAUAUGUACCUCACUGUCGGUAUUGGUUGUCUCACCAGACACCACUCGGGUCGAAUUGUCAUUGCUACCGCUUCGGUUCAUUCGGGUAUGUCCGCGGGGAUUGGAGAAGCUGAUUAGUCAGCCAGGGUGGAUACGAUACACAUUGUAUACCUCAUCAGCUAUUUAAUAAUUACAGAGUUCACGUGUAGGGGGCAAUGCAGAUAAACAUCCAGAAUUGUGAACAAACAGUCCAUAGAAUGAUUGCCAGCAUUUCCUGAUACAUGUAUAUACAAGAUCCGGCCUCCAUACCUGAACGCAGUAACCUUUAUUCAAUCGAGACACUCAAAUGUUCAGAAUCCGUCCAAUUGGAAUCUGUCCAUUGAAAAACCUGCCGUUGGACCGGUGGCAGAGAGAGAAUCCAUUUGCAACAGUUGCUCGGCAUUGGACCAAUGAAACAGUCAACCUGCGUUGGUAUUGGACAAGCGGCAGAUAUGACGACGCCUUUGCAUGACUGUCAUCUGCAGGAUAUAAAAUUCACGCCAGUUGGCGCGACAGGAAGAGUCAUCCACCACUAUAAUUCUUUCGUGCGCAGCAAAGAUUUACCAUCCUGUAUUAACAAGGUGUCAAUGUUUUUAAUGUUGCCAAGGUUACCCCAAAGCCGUAACGGAUGCCUUUCCGGGCAAGAAAUGUCUGACUCCGGUUGGCGUGCGGUUCUUACUGUUUUCUUGAGACGUAUGUUGGAUAUCACCAACAUUGUAUCAUAAGAGUGUUGUCUCAGGAAAGCGGAGGAGCUCAGUAUAUUAUGAUAACGAAAUGAGUGGAUUGAAAAUCGUAUGUUUUUCAGCCGUUUUUGUUCUUUUCCCUCCGUAUUCAACCAGCGAUGCGAACCUCGUCGAAACGACAAAAGCGCCGCCAAAAGCGCCUUUAUUCUGUUACACUUGCCAUGCGGUUUCCCUGCCACUGCCUGUGAGUGAAGAUUCCGCAGUGGUAGGGUUUGAGGGGAGGCAACACGUCUAUGACGAUGUGCUAUCUGAAGCUGCAUUCUACAAACAAGUAUCAACAAGUGGUUACCUGAAUUCAGAGUUCGGAACCAAUACCCUCCCUUAUAUUGGCUACUGCAUAAAUAAGUUCGAAUAUGAUGAAGACGGUUGGGAUCGGCAGAAAUGGUUCGCCUGGAAAUGCGACAACGAGCACGACCAGUGUUACACAGUGGUUUACGCUGCAACUGUGCAUGUCGAGAAUGAAACCUCAGCGACCACGACCAUUCACAAUCAUACAGGUUACAUUCGAGGAUGUACGGACUCGACCAAGAAUGCAUCAUUCUGUAAUUCAACAUUUACGGGAAAUGAUACGGGUCGCGGACAAGGACAACCAUGGGACGUCGUUUUUGAUGGAGAGGUUCGUUGCUGUCAAGGAAGCAACUGUAAUACGUUUGUUACUUCUCAGUCCGGGGCUGCCGGCUUGAGAGAUGUGCCUGUCCAAGCAUUUAUUUGUUACUUUGUUGCUAGCUUGCUGGUACAUCUACUUCCAUCACGGCGAAGUGUCAUCCGGGUCGCGUCGUCGUGGGCUUAGACCCCCGAGUGAUCAUGUCAACAAUUCCUCCAGUAUGAGUAUCGCAACUUCGGAUUAUUUCGGUAAGAUUGUCCUCCGUGUUAUUUUGGGAUAGUUUCUGAGAAGUCUAAGAUUGUAUCAUUUUAUCAGGGUUUGACCAAAGUGUUGGUGAUAUACAUAAAUUUCCGGGCACUUUCUCCAGGAGGGAGGCGAGCAGUUGCUACUGCCACAACGGUAUAUCCAUCGAUGUAGACUCCAUCGAUGUAUCCAUCGAUGUAACCUAUCCGAACGGACUGUGUAGUGUUUCAGAUGAUGAGGAUGUUGUGGUUUGGAUAUGCGUGUUAAGGACGAAGUUGGUCAUUGCUGUCGCCUGCGGGAGAAAGGCGAACAAUCUGUCAUCUCCAGCAGGUUGCAUGACGUGAGAAACUCACUGUAUGAUUGAAAACAAAUGGAACGCCAACUGAGAUAAUGGUGCAGAGCAAUGUGGAAUGAUCUGCACCCGAUUUGCUCAUUCAUUCCAAUGUGCAUCUCCUGUCAAACUUCACUUUGCCAGACAACUCUCCCGUGGACACAGACCCCACUGUCCUUGCUCAGCCUGCCACACUCCCAAGGAAGAGGGGGCAUAUGUGCGCAGAGGACAGCAGGUAUUAUAUCUACAGAUGAAGAAGAAGCGUUUUUUAUAAUCAAUUUGGUGAUUUAUUACCCAGCAGUAUGAAAAUGUGUUACAGACUAAACAGUACAUUGGAAGAAUGGUACUGAAGAAGACUGGUUGGGACAUCCUUCAAGGAAACUAGCUACUACCGCUAGGUGUCAGCACUAUAGUUUAAAUGUGUAUGAACAGUCAAAAUUUCCAAUGCAUUUUCCAAUGAUUCACACAAAUAGCAUUUUACAUUGAAACUCUUCGAUUUUUCUUUCUAGCACAAAUUUCGUUAGCAUACGUACAAGGCCUUACAAUGUCAAUCAUAGAAUGCUUUUAUCAAA